Molecule: long non-coding RNA, 827 nt
Organism: Siniperca chuatsi (mandarin fish)
Lineage: Eukaryota; Metazoa; Chordata; Actinopteri; Centrarchiformes; Sinipercidae
Exons: 3
Source: RefSeq, a predicted model, not a curated record
UUGGUUCACGCAAACCCCACCUACCCUCCUACAUCUUUCCAAUUCAUUCACACCUCACUCUGCACAGGACAGACAACAGAGAAGGACGUGUCUUUUGCACCUGAAAGAUUAGAUUUUACAGAUGGGUUUUUCAUUCCCAUGCCUACUUUACUCCCAUUCGCUCCUGCUCACCACGCAUGCUUCACGCUCAUUGGUCCAUGCAUAACGCCACGCACUUCCGGCAUGACGCACUUUCAUUUGUCAAUUAAAAACUGACAGAAGUGAAACUACUUCUCCUGCUACUCGGUCAGGGCACCCCUGCAGAUCACGCUGAAGCCGAGCAGCAUGGCGCCCAGGACAACCGAUGUCCCCACUGAGAUCUGGUGGAGGAUGCAGAGGUGAAAUAUGGACAUACAAAAUGAUCAAUAUUACAUGAUUACGUGUGAACAUGUCAAAUUUAAAUCCUACUAAACCUUCUGUAGUGGUUGAGUAUUCAUCUAAUAUAAGUUUGAUGUAGCUUAGACAAAGGUGCACCUGAUACCAAUAUCAACAAACGUAUAACGUACUGCAGGCAAUUCCUACAUAGUACAGGAGAUCUGCAAUGCAAUGGAACCAUAUCAUUUUGAUUUUCGGUAUUGUUUUUUAGGUUUGACAUUAGGUUUUACUUCCAAGUAUGUGGGUGAGAUAAAUGAGCUAACUUAGACUUGUAUUAAACCCAUCUGAGGCUGACAUUUCAUUUCAUUUCACUGUCUAAGUAAAGCUGUGUGUCACUGUCCAAGUUGAUGAGUGAAAUAUUAUCAUAACUGACUUGUAUGAUGAAAAGAAAGAAUAAAAAAUUAAGACCUUGA